RNAcentral lists this ribosomal RNA (468 nucleotides) under uncultured bacterium. RNAcentral's name for it is "partial 16S ribosomal RNA". It matches the Rfam family "Bacterial small subunit ribosomal RNA", at positions 28 to 507 of the family's 1533-position model. The record is from RNAcentral.
GACGAACGCUGGCGGCGUGCUUAACACAUGCAAGUCGAACGGAAAGGCCCUGCUUUUGUGGGGUGCUCGAGUGGCGAACGGGUGAGUAACACGUUAGUAACCUGCCCUUGACUUUGGGAUAACUUCAUGAAACUGGGGCUAAUACCGGAUAGGAGCUCCUGCUGCAUGGUGGGGGUUGGAAAGUUUCGGCGGUUGGGGAUGGACUCGCGGCUUAUCAGCUUGUUGGUGGGGUAGUGGAUUACCAAGGCUUUGACGGGUAGCCGUCCUGGGAGGGUGACCGGACAAAUUGGGACGGAGAUACGGCACAGACUACUAUGGGAGGCAGGAGUGGGGAAUAUUGCACAAUGGGCGGAAGGAUGAUGCAGCAAAGCCGCGUGCGGGAUGACGGCAUUCGGGUUGGAAACCGAAUUCGCCUGUGACGAAGCGUGAGUGACGGUAAUGGGUAAAGAAGCACCGGCUAACUACGUG